This 322-nucleotide ribosomal RNA is filed under the name uncultured eukaryote. Its description in RNAcentral is "partial 18S ribosomal RNA". It matches the Rfam family "Eukaryotic small subunit ribosomal RNA", at positions 1470 to 1796 of the family's 1831-position model. The record is from RNAcentral.
CCCUUAGAUGUUCUGGGCCGCACGCGCGCUACACUGAUGCAUUCAACGAGUUUUUCCUGGUCCGAGAGGAAUGGGUAACCUUUUGAAAGUGUAUCGUGCUAGGGAUAGACUAUUGCAAUUAUUGGUCUUCAACGAGGAAUUCCUAGUAGACGUAGUUCAUCAGACUGCAUCGAUUACGUCCCUGCCCUUUGUACACACCGCCCGUCGCUCCUACCGAUUGGAUGAUCCGGUGAGCUAUUCGGACCUUCGCUUCGUCGAUUUUCGGCUUUGUGAGGGAAAGUCUCGCGAACCUUAUCAUCUAGAGGAAGGAGAAGUCGUAACA